Molecule: unclassified non-coding RNA, 146 nt
Filed under: uncultured Capnodiales
Lineage: Eukaryota; Fungi; Ascomycota; Dothideomycetes; Capnodiales
Description: sequence contains ITS1
Source: RNAcentral
UCAGAGAUGGCGGGCCCCCGCGCCCCCGUCCCCAACCCAUUGUUGACCAAAACCCUUUUUGCCUCGGGGGCAGAGCGUCCGCCGCCGCCCCCGGAGGAACAACCAACGCUGUCUCUUUGCGUCGGAGUAAUUGAUUAAAUGAAUGA